GACGGAGGAUGCAAGCGUUAUCCGGAAUGAUUGGGCGUAAAGCGUCCGCAGGUGGCUGUUCAAGUCUGCUGUCAAAGCGCAGAGCUUAACUCUGUACAGGCGGUGGAAACUGAAGAGCUAGAGUAUGGUAGGGGUAGAGGGAAUUCCCGGUGUAGCGGUGAAAUGCGUAGAUAUCGGGAAGAACACCAGUGGCGAAAGCGCUCUACUGGGCCAUAACUGACACUGAGGGACGAAAGCUAGGGGAGCGAAUGGG
This 253-nucleotide ribosomal RNA is filed under the name uncultured bacterium. RNAcentral's name for it is "partial 16S ribosomal RNA". It matches the Rfam family "Bacterial small subunit ribosomal RNA", at positions 524 to 776 of the family's 1533-position model. The record is from RNAcentral.